AGAGUUUGAUCCUGGCUCAGAUUGAACGCUGGCGGCAUGGCUAAAGCAUGCAAGUCUGGGAGAACCUUCGGGGGACACCGGCGAAAGGGCGAGUAAUGCGAUCGAACGUACCCCAAUGUGGGGGAUAGCGUCGGGAAACUGGCGGUAAUACCCCAUGUGCUCUACGGAGGAAGUUGGGAGCGGCGAUCGUCCUAUCAGGUUGUUGGUGAGGUAACGGCUCACCAAGCCGAAGACGGGUAGCGGGUGUGAGAGCAUGACCCGCCGCAUCGGGACUGAGACACUGCCCGGACUCCUACGGGAGGCUGCAGUAACGAAUAUUCCGCAAUGCGCGAAAGCGUGACGGAGCAAUGCCGCGUGCAGGAUGAAGCCCCUCGGGGUGUAAACUGCUGUCAGGGUUUAGGAACACAAUGACCAAACCCAAAGGAAGGACCGGCUAACUCUGUGCCAGCAGCCGCGGUAAUACAGAGGGUCCAAGCGUUGAUCGGAAUCACUGGGCUUAAAGGGUUCGCAGGCGGAUCUGUAAGUAUGUUGUGAAAUCCCACGGCUCAACCGUGGAAUUGCUUCGUAGACUGCAGAUCUUGAGCACGACAGGGGCCAUCAGAACGAUAGGUGGAGCGGUGAAAUGCGUAGAUAUCUAUCGGAAUGCCAAAGGUGAAGACAGAUGGCUGGGUCGUCGCUGACGCUCAGGAACGAAAGCAUGGGUAGCGAACGGGAUUAGAUACCCCGGUAGUCCAUGCCCUAAACGAUGUGUACUAGUUCGAGGAGGUUUUAACGCCAUCUCGGACGAAGCUAAAGUAUUAAGUACACCGCCUGGGGAGUACGGUCGCAAGGCUAAAACUCAAAGGAAUUGACGGGGACUCACACAAGCGGUGGAGCAUGUGGUUUAAUUCGAAGCAACGCGAAGAACCUUAUCCAGGGUUUGACAUGGACGGAUUAGCUUCCCGAAAAGGAAGUAACACUCUUUGAGUGGAACGUUGACAGGUGCUGCAUGGCUGUCGUCAGCUCGUG
This 1008-nucleotide ribosomal RNA is filed under the name Isochrysis galbana. RNAcentral describes it as "partial Bacterial small subunit ribosomal RNA". It matches the Rfam family "Bacterial small subunit ribosomal RNA", at positions 8 to 1064 of the family's 1533-position model. The record is from RNAcentral. Lineage: Eukaryota; Haptophyta; Isochrysidales; Isochrysidaceae.